This 512-nucleotide ribosomal RNA is filed under the name uncultured bacterium. Its description in RNAcentral is "partial 16S ribosomal RNA". It matches the Rfam family "Bacterial small subunit ribosomal RNA", at positions 28 to 523 of the family's 1533-position model. The record is from RNAcentral.
GACGAACGCUGGCGGCGUGCCUAAUACAUGCAAGUCGAGCGGACCAAUAGAAGCUUGCUUCUAUUGGUUAGCGGCGGACGGGUGAGUAACACGUGGGCAACCUGCCUGUAAGACUGGGAUAACUUCGGGAAACCGGAGCUAAUACCGGAUAAUUCAUCCCCUCGCAUGAGGGGGUGCUGAAAGUCGGUUCACGCUGACACUUACAGAUGGGCCUGCGGCGCAUUAGCUAGUUGGUGAGGUAAUGGCUCACCAAGGCGACGAGGCGUAGCCGACCUGAGAGGUUGAGAGGCCACACUGGGACAGGUAACCGGCCCAGACUCCUACGGGAGGCAGCAGUAGGGAAUCUACCACAAUGGACGAAAGUCUGAUGGAGCAACGCCGCGCGAGCGAUGAAGGCCUUCGGGUCGUAAAGCUCUGUUGUUAGGGAAGAACAAGUACCGGAGUAACUGCCGGUACCUUGACGGUACCUAACCAGAAAGCCACGGCUAACUACGUGCCAGCCGCCGCAGUAA